RNAcentral lists this transfer RNA (74 nucleotides) under Elusimicrobium minutum Pei191. RNAcentral describes it as "tRNA-Ile (GAT) (tRNA-Ile-GAT-1-1)". It matches the Rfam family "tRNA". From Rfam's summary of the family: Transfer RNA (tRNA) molecules are approximately 80 nucleotides in length. Their secondary structure includes four short double-helical elements and three loops (D, anti-codon, and T loops). Further hydrogen bonds mediate the characteristic L-shaped molecular structure. tRNAs have two regions of fundamental functional importance: the anti-codon, which is responsible for specific mRNA codon recognition, and the 3' end, to which the tRNAs corresponding amino acid is attached (by aminoacyl-tRNA synthetases). tRNAs cope with the degeneracy of the genetic code in two manners: having more than one tRNA (with a specific anti-codon) for a particular amino acid; and 'wobble' base-pairing, i.e. permitting non-standard base-pairing at the 3rd anti-codon position. Lineage: Bacteria; Pseudomonadati; Elusimicrobiota; Elusimicrobia; Elusimicrobiales; Elusimicrobiaceae. The record is from Rfam by way of RNAcentral. RNAcentral also lists the same sequence under 1 other name.
GGGCUCGUAGCUCAGCUGGUUAGAGCGCACGCUUGAUAAGCGUGAGGUCGGUGGUUCGAUCCCACCCGGGCCCA